Molecule: ribosomal RNA, 466 nt
Filed under: uncultured bacterium
Lineage: Bacteria
Description: partial 16S ribosomal RNA
Rfam family: Bacterial small subunit ribosomal RNA
Source: RNAcentral
GACGAACGCUGGCGGUGUGCUUAACACAUGCAAGUCGAACGGUAAGGCCCUUUCGGGGGUACACGAGUGGCGAACGGGUGAGUAACACGUGAGUAACCUGCCCUCAUCUCUGGGAUAACAGUCGGAAACGGUUGCUAAUACUGGAUAUGAGCUUGCAAGGCAUCUUGUGGGUUGGAAAGAUUUUUUUUGGUUGGGGAUGGAGUCGCGGCCUAUCAGCUGGUUGGUGGGGUAGUGGCUCACCAAGGCUUCGUCGGGUAGCCGGCCUGAGAGGGGGACCGGCGAAAUUGGGAAUGAGAUACGGCCCAGACUCCUACGGGAGGCAGCAGUGGGGAAUAGUGCACAAUGGGCGGAAGACUGAUGCAGCAACGCCGCGUGCGGGAUGACGGCCUUCGGGUUGUAAACCGCUUUAGCCUGUGACGAAGCGUGAGUGACGUUAAUGGGUAAAGAAGCACCGGCUAACUACGUG